AUACAUGUAAGUAUUACAUCAAUACCAAAGUAAAUCGUCUAACAUUUUUAUAAUUUCAAGUGACAACGAAAUGGAACGUUUCUUUUCGCCAAUUUAUACCACAAUCCACACCAACACCAACCAACCUACUAUCUCAACCCACAUCGAAGAGAAUGUGUGUCCUGAAGUGUCUUGGCUACCAUUCUCUUCAUAGAUGCCCGCAGGACGAUGCAAGUUUUCGUGUUUCCCUGCUCAUUUUUUUCCCUUGGUAGACGGUACAGGAUAGUAAAUAAGGCCUAGUAAUAGUUACAUUAAGUCUUUUAUUAUUUCACUUAAGCAUAGUUUAAUAGUUUUAAUACAAAAAAUCAAUGUAAAAUAAUUUAAGAAAUUAAGUUCCUAAUUUUUAAGACUUUAAGGCUUAAUGAUUUCUACAAAAAGGAGUGAUGAGCCACAAUAAUUUUAAAGUACUUUUAAGAAACAAAAAAAAAGCCUUUUGCUUAAUAAAUCGGGUUUAAGUAACAUUUAAAAUUUAAAUUCAUA
Molecule: long non-coding RNA, 519 nt
Organism: Eupeodes corollae
Lineage: Eukaryota; Metazoa; Arthropoda; Insecta; Diptera; Syrphidae
Exons: 2
Source: RefSeq, a predicted model, not a curated record